GACGAACCGAGCGAACGUUGUUCGGAAUCACUGGGCUUAAAGGGUGCGUAGGCGGGCUGCCAAGUUUGGGGUGAAAUCCUCCGGCUCAACCGGGGAAGUGCCUCGAAUACUGGCGGUCUGGAGGGAGGUAGGGGCGUGCGGAACUAACGGUGGAGCGGUGAAAUGCGUUGAUAUCGUUAGGAACUCCGGUGGCGAAGGCGGCACGCUAGACCUCUUCUGACGCUGAGGCGCGACAGCGUGGGGAGCAAACAGG
This 253-nucleotide ribosomal RNA is filed under the name uncultured bacterium. RNAcentral's name for it is "partial 16S ribosomal RNA". It matches the Rfam family "Bacterial small subunit ribosomal RNA", at positions 524 to 776 of the family's 1533-position model. The record is from RNAcentral.